This is a long non-coding RNA of Melitaea cinxia (Glanville fritillary), 523 nucleotides long. RefSeq lists it as uncharacterized. The record is from RefSeq and is a predicted model, not a curated record. NCBI's taxonomy places the organism in Eukaryota, Metazoa, Arthropoda, Insecta, Lepidoptera, Nymphalidae. The transcript is spliced from 2 exons.
AUUUAACAUUAUUAACAAAUUGUGUAUGUAUUCAUCAGCAGUAAGACUGUGAAAGAGUUGUAAAAUAUUUAAUUAAUACGUAUACAGCGGCUUCAAUACUCGAACAAUGGGACUCUGUAGUAGCUCGUGUAACCCAUGUCAAAGCCUGUGUUGUUGUUGUUCCUGCUGUUGCGACGACAACAACAAUGGUGGAGGUGUUAUGGUUGUCGAUCAUCCUUCCAACGUGGUUGUGGUUGACGAACCUACUGGACCCAUGGGAAGAUAGAGUUUGAAACAUUUUAUAUAAAUAUUAGUGUCUGUACAGUUGCAGCUAUAUCGUAUACCUCCUGUGUUUUUAUUUUCAUAAUUCUUGUACGUUUCUUGAAAAAUAAUAAAAAUAUGUUAUGCUCAGAAAAUUAUGUUAGAUGAUAAAUGAAAUAGAUAAUUCAUUUUAAUCGUGUAUUGAAGCAUUUUGAGAGGUCAAUUUAUUGUACAAUUUUGGAUAAUUUAUAUUAAAUGUAAUAAAUAACUUUUACACGUUUUU